GACGAACGCUGGCGGCGUGCUUAACACAUGCAAGUCGAACGGAAAGGCCCUGCUUUUGUGGGGUGCUCGAGUGGCGAACGGGUGAGUAACACGUGAGUAACCUGCCCUUGACUUUGGGAUAACUUCAGGAAACUGGGGCUAAUACCGGAUAGGAGCUCCUGCUGCAUGGUGGGGGUUGGAAAGUUUCGGCGGUUGGGGAUGGACUCGCGGCUUAUCAGCUUGUUGGUGGGGUAGUGGCUUACCAAGGCUUUGACGGUUAGCCGGCCUGAGAGGGUGACCGGCCACAUUGGGACUGAGAGACGGCCCGGACUCCUGCGGGAGGCAGCAGUGGGGAAUAUUGCACAAUGGGCGGAAGCCUGAUGCAGCAACGCCGCGUGCGGGAUGACGGCCUUCGGGUUGUAAACCGCUUUCGCCUGUGACGAAGCGUGAGUGACGGUGAUGGGGAAAGAAGCACCGGCGAACUACGU
This 467-nucleotide ribosomal RNA is filed under the name uncultured bacterium. RNAcentral's name for it is "partial 16S ribosomal RNA". It matches the Rfam family "Bacterial small subunit ribosomal RNA", at positions 28 to 506 of the family's 1533-position model. The record is from RNAcentral.